This 446-nucleotide ribosomal RNA is filed under the name uncultured bacterium. RNAcentral describes it as "partial 16S ribosomal RNA". It matches the Rfam family "Bacterial small subunit ribosomal RNA", at positions 338 to 795 of the family's 1533-position model. The record is from RNAcentral.
CCUACGGGCGGCAGCAGUCGAGAAUCAUUCACAAUGGGGGAAACCCUGAUGGUGCGACGCCGCGUGGGGGAAUGAAGGUCUUCGGAUUGUAAACCUCUGUCAUGUGGGAGCAAAUUAAAAAGAUAGUACCACAAGAGGAAGAGACGGCUAAAUAGGUGCCAGCAGCCGCGGGAAUACAGAGGUCUGAAGCGGUGUUCGGAAUCACUGGGCGUAAAGCGUGCGUAGGCUGGUUCGUAAGGCGAGUGUGAAAGGCGCGGGCUCAACCCGCGGACGGCACAUGAUACUGGGAGACUAGAGUAAUGGAGGGGGAAGCGGAAUGCUCGGUGUAGCAGUGAAAUGCGUAGAUAUCGAGAGGAACACUCGUUGCGAAGGCGGGUUCCUGGACAUUAACUGACGCUGAGGCACGAAGGCCAGGGGAGCGAAAGGGAUUAGAUACCCCUGUAGUC